This 253-nucleotide ribosomal RNA is filed under the name uncultured bacterium. RNAcentral's name for it is "partial 16S ribosomal RNA". It matches the Rfam family "Bacterial small subunit ribosomal RNA", at positions 524 to 776 of the family's 1533-position model. The record is from RNAcentral.
UACGUAGGGUGCGAGCGUUAAUCGGAAUUACUGGGCGUAAAGCGUGCGCAGGCGGUUUUGUAAGCCCGAUGUGAAAUCCCCGGGCUUAACCUGGGAAUGGCAUUUGGGACUGCAAGGCUCGAGUGCGGCAGAGGAGACUGGAAUUCCUGGUGUAGCAGUGAAAUGCGUAGAUAUCAGGAGGAACACCGAUGGCGAAGGCAGGUCUCUGGGCUGACACUGACGCUGAGGAGCGAAAGCGUGGGGAGCGAACAGG